CCUACGGGUGGCAGCAGUGAGGAAUAUUGGUCAAUGGGCGCGAGCCUGAACCAGCCAAGUAGCGUGAAGGAUGACUGCCCUACGGGUUGUAAACUUCUUUUAUAAAGGAAUAAAGUGAGGCACGUGUGCCUUUUUGUAUGUACUUUAUGAAUAAGGAUCGGCUAACUCCGUGCCAGCAGCCGCGGUAAUACGGAGGAUCCGAGCGUUAUCCGGAUUUAUUGGGUUUAAAGGGAGCGUAGAUGGGUUGUUAAGUCAGUUGUGAAAGUUUGCGGCUCAACCGGAAAAUUGCAAUUGAUACUGGCAGGCUGGAGUGCAGUUGAGGUAGGCGGAAUUCGUGGUGUAGCGGUGAAAUGCUUAGAUAGCACGAAGAACUCCGAUUGCGAAGGCAGCUUACUAAGCUGCAACUGACAUUGAUGCUCGAAAGUGUGGGUAUCAAACAGGAUUAGAUACCCUAGUAGUC
Molecule: ribosomal RNA, 460 nt
Filed under: uncultured bacterium
Lineage: Bacteria
Description: partial 16S ribosomal RNA
Rfam family: Bacterial small subunit ribosomal RNA
Source: RNAcentral